This 868-nucleotide ribosomal RNA is filed under the name uncultured archaeon. Its description in RNAcentral is "bacterial SSU rRNA". It matches the Rfam family "Archaeal small subunit ribosomal RNA", at positions 1 to 879 of the family's 1478-position model. The record is from RNAcentral.
CUCCGGUGAUCCUGCCGGACCCGACUGCUAUCAGAGUGGGACUAAGCCAUGCGAGUCAACGUAGCAAUACGUGGCAUACGGCUCAGUAACACGUAGUCAACAUGCCCAGGGGACGAGGAUAACCUCGGGAAACUGAGGAUAAACCUCGAUAGGCCAUGAUUUCUGGAAUGAUUCUUGGCUCAAACCUAUAUGGCCCCUGGAUUGGACUGCGGCCGAUCAGGCUGUUGGUGAGGUAAUGGCCCACCAAACCUAUUACCGGUACGGGCUCUGAGAGGAGGAGCCCGGAGAUGGGCACUGAGACAAGGGCCCAGGCCCUAUGGGGCGCAGCAGGCGCGAAACCUCUGCAAUAGGCGAAAGCUUGACAGGGUUACUCUGAGUGAUUUCCGCUAAGGGAAUCUUUUGGCACCUCUAAAAAUGGUGCAGAAUAAGGGGUGGGCAAGUCUGGUGUCAGCCGCCGCGGUAAUACCAGCACCCCGAGUGGUCGGGACGUUUAUUGGGCCUAAAGCAUCCGUAGCCGGUUCUACAAGUCUUCCGUUAAAUCCACCUGCUUAACAGAUGGGCUGCGGAAGAUACUAUAGAGCUAGGAGGCGGGAGAGGCAAGCGGUACUCGAUGGGUAGGGGUAAAAUCCGUUGAUCCAUUGAAGACCACCAGUGGCGAAGGCGGCUUGCCAGAACGCGCUCGACGGUGAGGGAUGAAAGCUGGGGGAGCAAACCGGAUUAGAUACCCGGGUAGUCCCAGCUGUAAACGAUGCAGACUCGGUGAUGAGUUGGCUUAUUGCUAACUCAGUGCCGCAGGGAAGCCGUUAAGUUUGCCGCCUGGGGAGUACGGUCGCAAGACUGAAACUUAAAGGAAUUGGCGGGGGAGCCA